Long non-coding RNA from Engraulis encrasicolus (European anchovy), 2786 nucleotides. RefSeq lists it as uncharacterized. NCBI's taxonomy places the organism in Eukaryota, Metazoa, Chordata, Actinopteri, Clupeiformes, Engraulidae. The transcript is spliced from 3 exons. The record is from RefSeq and is a predicted model, not a curated record.
UGUGUCAAAUGGUAGUCAGAUUAGAUAUUGCAACUAUACUGUGCUGCCUAUUGCCAAACUUGAAGUUUCCAUGAAUAUUUACAAAGUAAUAAACUAAGGUGCUGUUUCCACAUAGUUGAAUAUUUUUAUAUGUGGAUUUUUUUUUUCUCAUGUUUGCAUUGGUUUUGCAUUGGUUUUGCCCUUCCGUUUCCACGUAGAAGAUAUUUGAAAUCCAGGUAUAAAAAGUAGGACAAAAAAAACGCAUUUGUUACAAUGUAGGAUUUAUUUUACUUACACGUAAACAGGAGAAAAAAAUACCCAGCUAAAAAAAUAUCCUGCUACGUGGAAACGGCACCUAAUAGUUAUUAGUAUGACCAAAGUACAGUAAGUUUCCCUCUUUCCAUAAAAGUGCAGUUUUCACAGCCAUAAUGAAUAUAUUGGAAUUUGAUUGUGGUGGUAUGUAUUCAUGAAAAAGGUAACAUUUGUGAAUGAGCAGAAUUAAUUGUGGAAAUAAACAACUAAAAAUGUUACACAGUGCACCUUUAAAUGUUUAGUGGAACAUUUUCUAAAUUCAUUUCAAGUUCCUGCAUAUUUUGUAGAAUUCAGCAUUUAGUGCAAGCUUUGCCUCCUGCAUUAUUAUUUUUAAUAAACCUGCGAACCUACUUGCCAAACUAAAUUGUACUAUCGUCAUGUUAUAUUAAUAUACUAAAAUAAUCAUCCAGCAAAUGUACAUGAAAUGGUUUUGAUGUCGAUAUUCAUAAUGUCUUUGGUGGCCCCAGUAGAUGUUGGUUUAGAGAGAAGUCCAGUAUUCAGAUGAAUCUUAAAAAGGAUGUUUUGCAGACAAUUUGCAGCCCCAAUAGUUAUCUAUCGCAUGGCUUGGCAAAUGGUAAUUUACUACAGGAAGGUAAAUUAGAUUAAAUCUCAAAUUUCAUGUCAAUACUCUCAUUAUCACUUCAGACCUAGUUUCUAACGCAGUAUGAUAUAUAAUAACAGAGAGAAGAGAGUAUUCUUAGAAUCGCUGGUAAUAAUAAACAAGAUUAGACAAUAAACCUUUGUUGUCUCUCUAUUCUGUUAGAAUUGCAAUGAUAUUAGUUGGCUAUAGGGACAAGUAGAGUUUGAGAGGAGCUCAGUAUGAACAUGUUUGUCAUCUUUCCAGAUUGUCAGACUGCAGCAUAAAAGGAAAGGGAUAUGCUGCUCUGGCCACAGCUCUCAAAUCAAACCCUUCACACCUGAAGGAGCUGGACCUGAGAGGAAAUGACACUCGACAUGCUGAACUGAAGCUCCUCACUGAUAUACUGCAGGAUCCUGCCUGUAAACUCAAGAGUCUGAGGCAAGAAAGAGCAUUUCACACUUAAUGUACUAAAUAAUGGUUCCUGAAUAGCAGUGAUGCCAUUGGUGAAGUCUCAGUUAAUCUUUAUCUUUUGUUAGCCAUUGUCACUUAACUAGUUCUCAUAUUUCUCAUCCAAUUAUUUAAAAAUGUCUAAUAAUGCUGUGUGUGUGUUGUGAAUAUUUUGCCCCUAGUACAGCAUGUGAAGCAUGUAGCUUUCAGAUGGGUCCACCGACAGGCUGUUCAGCUCAACUGCAUCAUAGCAACAUUGCCAUGAGUUUUAUGUAACUGAUCAGCUCAUAACAUUUUUUUGACAGGAAAAGUGACAACAAAGUCUCUGUGCAAAGGGAUUAAGCACAGUCUAAAUCAUUGACAGGAUGUUUAAGAACAUGUUAACUUGGAAAAGUCUAGAGUUAUUAUACAUUUCUACUAAAUCAGUUAUAAAAGAAAACAGGAGAUGCAUGCUGUAGAAGAGAGAAUGUAUGAAAGAAUUAAUGUAUUUAAUGUUAGGGAUACGCCACAACAACUUCUCAACUGUGUUGACAUGGCAAUAAACUUCUUGAAUCUUGACUCUUUCUCAGGUUCUAAUGCUAUAUUCAUGUAAUAGUGCAUGAACAACUUACUACAUAAAUAUAGUGAUAUACCAUAGCCUUUGAAACCAAAUUUGUAAUUCAAACUAUGCCUAAAUUAUGUAAGGGUUAACGUUCGGCGAGAAGGUCGCUACCGUGGAAUAGCAGCACGACAGAGAGAAUCUUUAGACCCCGACGCGGAGCGGACAGCGGUCUGUUAUAGACCGACCCGUCCGUUAUCGAAAAAUAACAGACGUGCGAACGUUGGGGAGCCCCAUUGAAAUUAAUGGAGCAUUCGACCGAUGACGUCACACCAUAUAAUAAAGAGACAUAAUUUGCUGAUAAUCAAUGACUGUAACCUAGGCCUAUAUCACGUAAAUGUUAAUUAUAAAACAUAAAACAUUGGGUAUUCCUGUAUACUUCCCCUGCUAGGGUGUUGGGCAGUGAUACAGCAGAUGAAGCCCUGGUGUAUCUGACUGCAGUUCUGGGUGGAAACCCCUUACUGCUGACAGAGCUGGACCUGAGAGGGAAGAUACCAGGAGACUCAGGAGUGAAGCAGUUCUGUGCUCUACUGGAGGAUUCACAAUACAGAGUGGAAAAACUGAGGCUUGGUAACUGCAGUAUAACGGGAGAGGGCUGUGCUGCUCUGAUUUCUACACUGACAUCAAACCCAUCACACCUGAAAGAGCUACAUUUGAAUGAUAAUGUAAUUGGAGACUCUGGUUUGAAGCAGAUCUGUACUCUACUCAGGAAUCCAGAUUGUAAACUACAAAGACUGGGGCUUAAGAGCUGCAGUAUAACAGAAGCGGGCAGUACUGCUCUUGCUUCAGCUCUAUCCUCAAACCCCUCAUCACACCUGAUAGAACUGGAUCUGGAUAAUAAUAAACUAGGAGACUCUGGUGUGAAGCAGA